UAAGGAAUCUUCCACAAUGGACGAAAGUCUGAUGGAGCAACGCCGCGUGCAGGAUGACGGUCUUCGGAUUGUAAACUGCUUUUAUAUAGGAAGAUUAUGACGGUACUAUAUGAAUAAGCACCGGCUAACUACGUGCCAGCAGCCGCGGUAAUACGUAGGGUGCAAGCGUUAUCCGGAAUCACUGGGCGUAAAGCGUGCGUAGGUGGGAAUUUAAGUGUGAUGUUAAAUCGUGUGGCUCAACCAUAUCGAUGCAUCGCAUACUGGGUUCCUAGAGGACAGCAGAGGCAAGUGGAAUUAGCAGUGUAGCAGUGAAAUGCGUAGAUAUUGCUAGGAACACCAAUGGCGAAGGCAGCUUGCUGGGCUACUCCUGACACUGAGGUACGAAAGCGUGGGGAGCGAACAG
Molecule: ribosomal RNA, 403 nt
Filed under: uncultured bacterium
Lineage: Bacteria
Description: bacterial SSU rRNA
Rfam family: Bacterial small subunit ribosomal RNA
Source: RNAcentral